RNAcentral lists this ribosomal RNA (253 nucleotides) under uncultured bacterium. RNAcentral describes it as "partial 16S ribosomal RNA". It matches the Rfam family "Bacterial small subunit ribosomal RNA", at positions 524 to 776 of the family's 1533-position model. The record is from RNAcentral.
GACAGAGGGGGCGAGCGUUGUCCGGAGUCACUGGGCGUAAAGCGCGCGCAGGCGGUCGCCAAAGCGUCGUGUGAAAGCCCCCGGCGCAACCGGGGGAGGCCAUGGCAAACUCGGCUACUGGAGCGGCGGAGAGGCCCCCCGAAUUGCCGGUGUGGCGGUGAAAUGCGUAGAGAUCGGCAGGAAGACCAAGGGGGAAGCCAGGGGGCUGGCCGCUGGCUGCCGCUGAGGCGCGACAGCGUGGGGAGCGCACCGG